Molecule: ribosomal RNA, 261 nt
Filed under: Metapenaeus lysianassa
Lineage: Eukaryota; Metazoa; Arthropoda; Malacostraca; Decapoda; Penaeidae
Description: partial large subunit ribosomal RNA
Source: RNAcentral
GGCUUAGAUGUUCUAGGGGGACGAUAAGACCCUAUAAAGCUUUACAGUGUAUUGAUUAAAUUUUAAAUUGUUAGUAUUAACUUAAUUUAUUUAAUAACUGUUUCGUUGGGGCGACGAAAAUAUAAUAAAUAGUAACUGUUUUUCUUUUAGAAUAACAAUAAAUUUUUGGGAGUAAUUGAUCCUUUCUUAAAGAUUAAAAGAUUAAGUUACUUUAGGGAUAACAGCGUAAUCUUCUUUGAGAGUUCAUCUCGACAAGAAGGG